Molecule: ribosomal RNA, 497 nt
Filed under: uncultured bacterium
Lineage: Bacteria
Description: partial 16S ribosomal RNA
Rfam family: Bacterial small subunit ribosomal RNA
Source: RNAcentral
GAUGAACGCUGGCGGCGUGCCUAAUACAUGCAAGUCGAGCGAACAGACGAGUAUCUUGCUCCUCUGACGUUAACGGCGGACGGGUGAGUAACACGUGGUUACCCUACCUUUAAGACUGGGAUAACUUCGGGAAACCGGAGCUAAUACCGGAUAAUAUCUUUAACCGCAUGGUUCAAUAGUUAAAGACGGUUUUGCUGUCACUUAUAGAUGUAUCCUCGCUGCAUUAGCUAGUUGGUAAGGUAACGGCUUACCAAGGCAACGAUGGGUAGCCGACCUGAGAGGGGGAACGGCCGCACUGGAACUGAGAGACGAUCCAGACACCUAGGGAAGGCAGCAGUAGGGAAUCUUCGGCAAUGGGCGAAAGCCUGACGGAGCAACGCCGCGUGGGUGAUGAAGGUCUUCGGAUCGUAAGACUCUGUUAUUAGGGAAGAACAAAUGUGUAAGUAACUAUGCACGUCUUGACGGUACCUAAACAGAAAGCCACGGCUAACUACGUG